GUAAUUCCAGCUCCAAUAGCGUAUAUUUAAGUUGUUGCAGUUAAAAAGCUCGUAGUUGGACUUAAGGGUGGGUCUGCCGAUCAGCCUCACGGUAAGCACCGGUCUGCUCGUCCCUACUGUCGGUGAUGCACUCGUGGCCUUAAUUGGCCGGGUUGUUCCUCCGGCGCUGUUACUUUGAAGAAAUUAGAGUGCUCAAAGUAGGCCUACGCUUGUAUACAUUAGCAUGGG
Molecule: non-coding RNA, 228 nt
Filed under: Gossypium arboreum
Lineage: Eukaryota; Viridiplantae; Streptophyta; Magnoliopsida; Malvales; Malvaceae
Description: Eukaryotic small subunit ribosomal RNA
Rfam family: Eukaryotic small subunit ribosomal RNA
Source: Rfam by way of RNAcentral